RNAcentral lists this non-coding RNA (29 nucleotides) under Homo sapiens (human). The record is from RNAcentral. Lineage: Eukaryota; Metazoa; Chordata; Mammalia; Primates; Hominidae.
GAAACCUCCUGGGAGACCUACAUUACACC